UACGUAGGGUGCAAGCGUUGUCCGGAAUCAUUGGGCGUAAAGCGCGCGUAGGCGGCCCGAUCAGUCCGCUGUAAAAGUCCAGGGCUCAACCCUGGAAAGCCGGUGGAUACUGUCGGGCUAGAGUCCGGAAGAGGCGAGUGGAAUUCCUGGUGUAGCGGUGGAAUGCGCAGAUAUCAGGAGGAACACCGAUAGCGAAGGCAGCUCGCUGGGACGGUACUGACGCUGAGGUGCGAAAGCGUGGGGAGCGAACAGG
This 253-nucleotide ribosomal RNA is filed under the name uncultured bacterium. RNAcentral describes it as "partial 16S ribosomal RNA". It matches the Rfam family "Bacterial small subunit ribosomal RNA", at positions 524 to 776 of the family's 1533-position model. The record is from RNAcentral.